This 301-nucleotide ribosomal RNA is filed under the name uncultured bacterium. Its description in RNAcentral is "partial 16S ribosomal RNA". It matches the Rfam family "Bacterial small subunit ribosomal RNA", at positions 509 to 807 of the family's 1533-position model. The record is from RNAcentral.
CAGCAGCCGCGGUAAUACAGAGGGUGCAAGCGUUAAUCGGAAUUACUGGGCGUAAAGCGCGCGUAGGUGGUUUGUUAAGUCGGAUGUGAAAUCCCUGAGCUUAACUUAGGAAUUGCAUUCGAUACUGGGAAGCUAGAGUAUGGGAGAGGAUGGUAGAAUUCCAGGUGUAGCGGUGAAAUGCGUAGAGAUCUGGAGGAAUACCGAUGGCGAAGGCAGCCAUCUGGCCUAAUACUGACGCUGAGGUACGAAAGCAUGGGGAGCAAACAGGAUUAGAGACCCGAGUAGUCCCUGUUUCUUAUAC